UGUUGCGGUUAAAAAGCUCGUAGUUGGAUUUCUGUUGAAAGUGAUCGGUCCCCUCUCUGAGGGCGUAUCUGACUCGCUUUUGGCAUCCUCUUGUGGCACGUUUCUGUCCUUCACUGGAUGGAGCGGGACGCAAGACUUUUACUUUGAGGAAAUUCGAGUGUUUACGGCAGGCAAUCGCCCUGAAGAUAUUAGCAUGGAAUAAUAAUAUAGGACCUUGGUUCUAUUUUGUUGGUUUCUAGAGCUGAGGUAAUGAUUAAUAGGGAUAUUUGGGGGCAUUCGUACUAACCGGUCAGAGGUGGAAUUCUUGGAUUCGGUUAUGACGAGCGACUGCGAAAGCAUUUGUCAAGAAUGUUUUCAUUGAUCAAGAACGAAAGUGUGGGGAUCGAAGAUGAUUAGAUACCGUCGUAGUCUACACCAUAAACUAUGCCAACUAGGGAUCAGGGGUUGUCUUCUUGUAACUCCCUUGGCACCUUACGAGAAAUCAAAGUUUU
This 491-nucleotide ribosomal RNA is filed under the name uncultured marine eukaryote. RNAcentral describes it as "SSU rRNA". It matches the Rfam family "Eukaryotic small subunit ribosomal RNA", at positions 611 to 1107 of the family's 1831-position model. The record is from RNAcentral.